RNAcentral lists this non-coding RNA (840 nucleotides) under Portunus sanguinolentus (three spot swimming crab). The record is from RNAcentral. Lineage: Eukaryota; Metazoa; Arthropoda; Malacostraca; Decapoda; Portunidae.
UUGAUUGUUUCUUGUCCCCUUGCGGUUAUUGAAAUUGAAAUUGUAUGAGAGUUGUUGCGUGUAUUAGCUCUAUAUUUAAGAUUUAUGGGCAAUUAGAAAAUGGUAGCAUAAGGGCUAUGAAGUUAAAUUCUCAGCAUAUAUAAUUAGAUAAAUUUAAUAAAGUUAAGAUCUAGCAGUAAGUUUAAACCUGAUUAAUAUUGUGCCAGCAGUCGCGGUUAUACUUUGAGGUUAAGUAAGGGCGUAUCGGUCAAUAGUUAAGCGAAAAAAUUGUAGUCAUUAAAGCCUAGUAGAAUAAAAAAGUGAAAUUAGGAUAUCCUUGGAGGUCAGAGUGUGAACUACUAAUGUAAGCCGAAGCGAUAAAAUGUUGGGGUUAAACUAGGAUUAGAUACCCUAUUAUACCAAAGAGUAAUUUCAUUAGGCCUGAGUAGUAACAGUUAUGUUCUAAAAAUUUGAAAAAUUUGGCGGUGGUUUAGUCUUGUCAGAGGAACCUGUCUUUUAAACGAUACACCACGAAAUAUCUUACUUAAGUUAGUAGAGUAUGUAUACCAUCAUUAUUAGGUAAUUUUUAUAGAAUAAAUUACUGUAUUACGAUUAAUAAUGUUAAAUAUAUUAGAUCAAGGUGCAGCUUAUACUUAAGUCAAGAUGGGUUACAAUAGAAUUUAUGCUAUACGAAUGAGUAACUGAAAUUGUGACUCGGAAGGAGGAUUUGAUUGUAAAUCUAGUUUAAUAAGCUAGUUAGAUAUAAGCUCUAAAGCAUGUACAUAUCGCCCGUCGCUUUCAUUAAUAAGAUGAGAUAAGUCGUAACAUAGUAGGCUUACUGGAAAGUGAGCCUGGAAGGAU